GUUUUGCGUGAGGGAUAGGAGCGACAUCCUGGCUUUGUGAGAUUACCGCGCAAGCUCGCAAUGACAGAUACAGCGGAUAGCCCGUUCGCCG
This 91-nucleotide unclassified non-coding RNA is filed under the name Flavobacterium saliperosum. Its description in RNAcentral is "Flavo-1 RNA". The record is from RNAcentral. Lineage: Bacteria; Pseudomonadati; Bacteroidota; Flavobacteriia; Flavobacteriales; Flavobacteriaceae.